Molecule: ribosomal RNA, 467 nt
Filed under: uncultured bacterium
Lineage: Bacteria
Description: bacterial SSU rRNA
Rfam family: Bacterial small subunit ribosomal RNA
Source: RNAcentral
AUUGAACGCUGGCGGCAGGCCUAACACAUGCAAGUCGAGCGGAUGAGUGGAGCUUGCUCCAUGAUUCAGCGGCGGACGGGUGAGUAAUGCCUAGGAAUCUGCCUGGUAGUGGGGGACAACGUUUCGAAAGGAACGCUAAUACCGCAUACGUCCUACGGGAGAAAGCAGGGGACCUUCGGGCCUUGCGCUAUCAGAUGAGCCUAGGUCGGAUUAGCUAGUAGGUGAGGUAAUGGCUCACCUAGGCGACGAUCCGUAACUGGUCUGAGAGGAUGAUCAGUCACACUGGAACUGAGACACGGUCCAGACUCCUACGGGAGGCAGCAGUGGGAAUAUUGGACAAUGGGCGAAAGCCUGAUCCAGCCAUGCCGCGUGUGUGAAGAAGGUCUUCGGAUUGUAAAUCACUUUAAGUUGGGUAGGAAGGGCAGUAAGUAAUACCUUGCUGUUUGACGUUACCAACAGAAUAAGCA